RNAcentral lists this ribosomal RNA (411 nucleotides) under uncultured bacterium. Its description in RNAcentral is "partial 16S ribosomal RNA". It matches the Rfam family "Bacterial small subunit ribosomal RNA", at positions 338 to 763 of the family's 1533-position model. The record is from RNAcentral.
CCUACGGGUGGCAGCAGUGGGGAAUAUUGGGCAAUGGGCGCAAGCCUGACCCAGCAACGCCGCGUGAAGGAAGAAGGCAUUCGGGUUGUAAAGCUCUGUUGGCAGGGAAGAAGCAAGUGACGGUACCGGACGAAUAAGCCACGGCUAACUACGUGCCAGCAGCCGCGGUAAUACGUAGGGGGCAAGCGUUAUCCGGAUUUACUGGGUGUAAAGGGCGGGUAGGCGGGGAUGCAAGUCAGAUGUGAAAACCCCGGGCUCAACCUGUGGCCUGCAUUUGAAACGGUUUUUCUUGAGUGCUGGGGAGGCAGUCGGAAUUCCGUGUGUAGCGGUGACAUGCGUAGAUAUUCGGAGGAACCCCAGUGGCGAAGGCGGCUUGCUGGACUGUAACUGACGCUGAGGCUCGAAAGCGUG